CCUACGGGCGGCAGCAGUGAGGAAUAUUGGUCAAUGGACGAGAGUCUGAACCAGCCAAGUAGCGUGAAGGAUGACUGCCCUAUGGGUUGUAAACUUCUUUUAUAUGGGAAUAAAAUGUUCCACGUGUGGGAUUUUGUAUGUACCAUAUGGAUAAGGAUCGGCUAACUCCGUGCCAGCAGCCGCGGUAAUACGGAGGAUCCGAGCGUUAUCCGGAUUUAUUGGGUUUAAAGGGAGCGUAGGUGGAUUGUUAAGUCAGUUGUGAAAGUUUGCGGCUCAACCGUAAAAUUGCAGUUGAAACUGACAGUCUUGAGUACAGUAGAGGUGGGCGGAAUUCGUGGUGUAGCGGUGAAAUGCUUAGAUAUCACGAAGAACUCCGAUUGCGAAGGCAGUUCACUGGACUGCAACUGACACUGAGGCUCGAAAGUGUGGGUAUCAAACAGGAGUAGAUACCCUGGUAGUC
RNAcentral lists this ribosomal RNA (460 nucleotides) under uncultured bacterium. RNAcentral's name for it is "partial 16S ribosomal RNA". It matches the Rfam family "Bacterial small subunit ribosomal RNA", at positions 338 to 795 of the family's 1533-position model. The record is from RNAcentral.